CAACUCUGACCAACUUGAAAAAUAUUCCUAUACCUGUCGUACAAAGGACUUGCCGUGUGGCUGCCAGCCCUGCACAAUGUCCUUGCCUCCCCUGCUCAACUCUGCGUCUGCGCAGCUGUGUAGCCCCUGCAGGAGCGAGUGAGGUCAAAGGGGGGACAGGAUACCUUGCAGGUUAGGGUUUCUAUUUGUAAUUAAGAAGUUCCUGUUUCUUAGAUGUAAAGCGCAAAACAUUUUUCAACCCACGCUGAACUGCGACUCCAUUCAUAUGGUGUACAUCCUCACGCUCUUGGUCCUUCUCUUUCAUUGUAUUUUUCUAAUAGCCGACUCUCUCGCCCCUGUGAGUACCUUACCUCUCCAUAGAAAUGACCCUCAAGAGGCCAGCAUGAGCUGCUCUCUCAGACCCCGACGUAGGGUGAGGCAGUCGGCUGGCCAGUCCUGGGUGCACCCCAAAUCACAGCUUGCUCUAAUUGGACAGUCGUGGAUUUGGUCUUUUCUCCUCGGUCUUUUCGGGUCUAGCCUGAGCUCUGACACUCAGUGUCCCCAUCCAUCUGAAUAGUAAGCCAGUCUUUGGCUUGUACUGUACUGGUACAAAUAUUCGUCUCCCACAACUUUGGCCUUAGUUUCUACCUAACGCCCAGGCCCCGAUAGCUACCCAGGUGUCCCCUAGAAUUCCAAGGGGCCUCCCCCCAGCUCUCUAGCUCUUCAGAAGCCAGUGCCCCUUGAGGUGCGGCCCUGAGAUGCUGCCUGAUGAGGAGCCCUGUGAAGCCGAGGCUGGGAGCAGAGGGAGCCUAGACCAAGGACUUCUGUUCUGUGCGGCUGUCCGUCUCUUGUCAGAGUCUCAUCGCAGAGGCCCUACUAUGACAACCAGGCCCGUCCCAGAGGAGCCUCCACCUGCUGAUGCUGCCAGAGAGAGGCUGUGGGCUUGUCAGCUUCCCUGUCUUUGCCACAUUAGCUGUUUUGAAGGAAGGGCCACCCCCCUCAGCCCCUCAGCUGCUUCUUUCUGCCCCUGAGCACCCUAACUUCAGCUGUCCUCCCCCCCAGCAGCUUGGGGUCAAGCUCACCAUCUGUGGGCAGCCUGGGGUUCUGAGCCUUCCUGGCCUCCAGAUAGGACAUAGAUCCCAGCCCCCAACCCCCAGGCACCAUGGGCCAACCCUGUAGGGGAGCAGCUUAAUGACCUUGUGAGCAGUAAUUACACCCUAGGGCCCACUGUUAAUAACCAGUAUUCCCCGUCAGUGUGCCUUAAUUGAAAAUGAGUAGGCGACAGGAGUUGCUGUGAAGUUGGCUGGCAAGCCCUUAACGUGAUAUUAAUUGUGGUAAUUAGUAGUCACUUUGUGUUGGAGUCAUCUAUAAAUAGGGGGUCCAUUAGUUUAGCAAAAGAGCAUGAUUUAAAAUGCAAAGAAAAGCCCAAUUAGUCAGCUAAAUCACUCAUCUUUCUGAGCAAAAUCUGACGUUGUGUAGACCAGCAGCCAUUUGAGGGUCUGGUCAGUUCCGGGCCUCUGAACACUGCAACAGCCCAACGGCAACAGCGUCCCUUUAAGUGGACUUAAGUCUCUAGUUCUGUGAUGUUUCCUCCACACUGUUGGCACAGUUAGUGGUCACACUCCCUAGCAGUUCCUCCCUCUGCCUCCUGAUUGGUUUCCUCUAGUGGCACGGGAGUGCGUCUUAAAGGAAGAGUAGCACAGGGCAUGCCAAGACUGGGAGCCUGGGUGGUGGAAAGUGGGCUUCUCUCUUUAAAUGCAGCUCUUGACAGUCCAGCCAGACUGAGCCACCAAUGCCAAGUGUCCUGUGACCCAAACGGACUUUGUGACUUGAGGCACACACUGAAAGUGGACUCAGUAUUCCUCACAGCCUUGGGGUGCAGAGUAAGGGAGCAGCUGGAAGGCCUGAGAAGACUCAACUACAAGGCUGGGGGUGGGGUGGGGGUGCAGCGGUGAGAUUCCCAAUACUUUUGUUUGAGGAAACACAGAGGUGGGGGAGGCUGCUGAGAUGCUACCACCUGGGACACAGGUCAUGCCAGCUGAGGCAAACUCCACCCUUCCCCCACAGUCUGCCUACUCCUCACCCCUCAAAAGGCCACCAUUCCUGUGAGGCCCCCUGAGGUUGCUUUUCCUGAAAUUUGUGUUUUAUCAAGAGAGGCAGCAGCCGUUUCUGAGCAUAGUAAGAAGAGAAGUUGUCCACUCUUCCCCAACUAAGGAGUAGUGAGCUGUCCUUCAUCAGUCUUUCUCCAGUGACUCAGCGUUUGUAACAGGUGGUCGGGCUUGCUAUUCUGAAUGUCCUAUUUGAUAAAAUAAAACAUUGGCAACCCUAUGUUGGUCCCAAAAAUAUCUUUUGCCAGGGAAUGAAAUCCAAGUGUCUGGGGCCGCAGAGCUAAACGGCUGAAUCAGGAACCUGAGGCUGAAUGACUCAUAGCUGUAUGCAUGAAGGGUGAGUGUGCGAUCGCUCAUGGGUGCGUGCAUGCAUCUGCUGGCGGGUGGCUGGUGAAAUAAGGACAUCAUUGUCCAAGAUUCCCCGGGAAGAGAAUUCAGGGUGGCCUGAGGAUUACGCGGAGGCCUGGGGGCCAUCCACCCACGUUGUUGUCUUACCCUUGAGGAGAAACUGAGUCUCAGCCUACUGUCCCAAGCCACACGGUGAGAAGACAGUCCAGGCUCUAGCUAUUGCACACUGGCAGCCUGCCUUCCCAGCCGGAGAGCGUCUCCUGCACAAAGAUUGGAAGAGACAGACGUGAGGAAAAUUGAACCUGCUUGUCUCGCUCCCGAAAAGGGAAAAAACCGGGACAGCUGACAGUGAUUCAGGCCAUACACAAAAUAUGCCGCUUCAGUCAGGCAGUGGGUAUGGUGUACUCGCAUACUAGGGACUAGGGCACUCACCAAACCUGAGCCAGCCUGGUUAAGUUGGGGGAGGGGGCAGGGAGGCAGGGGAAGGGAGCAAACAAAGAAGACACCAGAGCUGAAGCUAGAAAACCCUGAAGAAAACAAGGGAAGUCUCCGUGUUGUCUGCUGCUCCGAUCUGGAAGGUUCCGCAAAGGCCAAUGUGUUAAAAGCUUGGUCCCCAGCUUGCCACCAGCCCUGGAGGUGUGCAGCCAUCUUGGUCACAGGGGGAAUUGUUUUACACACAUGCUCCCACUAUUAUGAGCUGUCCAUCCCAACAGAGGUCUAAAGCCAAUGAGCCCACCCAGAGGUUCCAGCCUCUGUAGUGUAGGCUUAAAACAUUUCUUUGAGACGUUUUUGCACAGUCAGGCCAGACUUGAAUUCCUUACCUUCCUCCUCAACCUCCUGAGUACAGGAUUUAUAGAAUUAUACCAUCAUAUUCGACUCUAAAACUUGAUAACUCGGUUGUACUAGGUAUUUGUUGUGGCAGGAAUAAAGCUGACAGCUUCAGCUCUGGUGACAGAAUCUCUGCUGCAAUAAUGGCACAAGCAACGAAGAAAAAAGACCAAGUGAACCGUGGGACUCAGAGCAUGCGAGCUUGAAAGACUCAAGAGUGUGAAGACACCGUGCGGAAGAGGUGGCCUAGCUGCGAAUUACACAUCUAGCAGCGGACUCCAUCUGACAAAGGACUCAAGACUCAGAAAAGACAAAAGAGACAGAAGAUAACGAGCAGAAAGCUCUCUAGCAACCAAAUGGCCGGCCAGUAAGAACACGAGCAGGUGUGAAGCCGCAUUAGCUUCCAGGGAAGUGAAAUCAAAGCCUGCGGAGAGAUCCCCUUCCACUAGGAUGGUGCAAUUCCAAAAGUUCUAGAAGUGUCGGUGAGGAAGAAGGGUCUGAACCCCGCUCCUGCUCCUCAGUGAAUACCGACCACACCUCUCCAAACGCCAACUGGAGCGGUUCAUUGCCGCAGGCCACAAUGCUGGGGUUUUCUCUAUGCCUCCUUGUGAAGCCAGCAGCAAUAAAGAGCACUAAAGACACCUCCACUUUGUCCCCCGCUGCGUACUACACCAUCAAUAACUGUGCCUUGUGGGAGUUUUGAUGACCUGCUAGACCUGCACAGUGCAUCCAGUUGUCAAGGAUUUCUAUGGUCUCUGAUGAUAUCAUGGAGUUCGUCCAGGAAAUAGGAAAUGAGAGGCUGUGGAUUCAAUUCUGUGGACAGAAAUUCAUUCUGUGGAUAGGUUUUGAUCAAGGAAGACCCCCAGAAAAAUUUUCAAUGAGAACAGAUGGCUCAGAUUCACCAACGUCUCAGAGCACCUCUGUUGCAGUUUCUUCUGAGUUCUGCAUCCAGAACAGCUUCAAGGCUGCUGGCUGAGAUGAUCAAGCCUCAAAGAAUACUCCAGUCAGGA
Long non-coding RNA from Myodes glareolus (Bank vole), 4273 nucleotides. RefSeq lists it as uncharacterized. Lineage: Eukaryota; Metazoa; Chordata; Mammalia; Rodentia; Cricetidae. The record is from RefSeq and is a predicted model, not a curated record.